UUUGAAUGGUCAAGAGGGUACACUAUGCGAUUUGGAAUAACAUACAUCGAUUUCAAAAGCAAAACUUUGGAACGAAUCCCAAAACUCUCAUCAAAGUGGUUCAACCAUUUCUUAAGCACUUGAAGAUGAUUCACAACCCCAUCAAAACCUAUUUGCCAAGCCAUUAUAAUAAAGCUCCUUAAAGCUAUUUCCUAAGGCAUUAUAUUGUAGUUUUUUUUUUUUUUUUUUUUUUUUUUUUUUUUUUUUUUUUGAUAUUGCAAUUUUGUUAUUUUAAUGUUUUGGGUCAAUAAAAUAAAUUACCUACAGCUAUUGUGUUGUUUGGAUUGAGAAUAUAUAAUCUACUUUAAUAUACCCUUUCACCUUUUCUUUUUUCUUCUCUUUAUUAUGAUUAUGAUUUUUAGACUUAGUUGUAUAAAUGACAUUUAAAAAAAAAGAACAUUAGAAUACAACAUAAAAAUUGGUAAAAGACUAAAAACCUCCACGUCUAUUGUCUUACUUUUUAAAAUAUUUUUUUGGUUGCGUUAUUUGUUGUCACCAUCAUCAUCUUCAAUUUCUCCUUUCCUUGAUGAUUUUAAUUGAUGGAGAAUAGUUGACUUUUAGUUAGAUUUUGGAAAGAAAAAAAAGUAGUAUAAAUAAUAUGACUCAACUUUAUGAGAUGUUUAACACGAACCAUUACGUUCUGUAUGCAAAUUUCAUACAAAAAAAACUAUUUGUCCAUUUGGCUGUAACUACCGACUUUUCAAUUUAAGCUAAGGUCACUAUUCAAAUAAAAUUACGAUUUCAAAAUCCAAAACUAUGCAAAUUUUAGAUACAUUUUAUUAAAGAAAUAAAUAUAAGACAUGUUACACCCUCUUUCGGAUUACCUACUCUCGAAUCAAGAGAGGACGUGAAGUCAAUCGAUAUUGCUCCCCUUCUUAAUGACACCAGCUGACCCUUAACCUUUCACCUUUAACUAAAAUGCAGGCGGAAGUUAACACACAUAACUUAAACACAACUAAGUGCAACUCUUUUCAUUAAACAAAUGACUUUAUAUAAGUUUUACACAAACAUUUAACAGCAACCAUAGAUACAUAGAAAUUGACUCUAUCUUCAACCCUCUUAAAUCCAAGUCUCUUACAAUUAAAAGACCAACUAAAUGUAACUUCUAAAUUAAACAACAAGACAUGUGCGAUAAUAAGAAAAAAUCCUUCAAUAGACAAGAGGCGGUGAAUUAGGCUUUGAGAACAUGACCUCUACUUGAAAAGAAAAAAACAUUUCGAAGAGUAUGAGCUAAACAAGCGCAGUGAGUGAUAGGUUUUUAAACAAUAUUUCGUAGACUAUUUAAAUAGUAAACAUAAAUAAUAACAUGAAUACUUUAACUUGAUAAACAUUUAGGAAACAGUAAAUCAAAUCCUUGUUUUUCUGAUCAUAACCUAAGUAUCUACUCCUGGGAGGUGGUACAGUGAACUCAAUACUAACUCCAAACCCUCAAAGAUGGACAUCCCUAAUCCUUGUUCCUGGGAGAUAGAUGUCCCUAGCUAACUUCGAGCAUGAAGAUAAGUGUCCUUACCUCAAAUUCCUUGCGCCCUUUAACCUAUCCCGAAGGGCUAUUUGAGAUAUCUUGGAUUAGAUAAAACAUGAAUAAACUCAUAUGCUUUGGAAAAAAAUGCUUCAAACCUUUAAAGAUCCUCUUGCAUUUAAGCAAACAUUUUUAAACGUAACCAUGCCUUGAUAAACUCAUUUAUCGAUCCUUGAAAGCCAUAAACAUUUUUCAGCCAUCAUGCUUAAAUAAAUACUUUAAUUAAAUUACAUGCUUAGAAAUCAUUCAUUAAUUAGAUAGCUCAAACAUUUAACUUAAAUUGUACUUAAAACAAGCUUAAGAAACAUAUGAUUCAAAAUCACUUUCAUUUUUCACUUACUGAUAUAAGCUUUAGGUUAUUGGUCUUUACAUUUUUUCAAUCCCUUCCUCACCUAAAGUAAUGGUAAAUAAAUCCAUUUAAUAUUUGUUGACCAUGGAAAUACUAAAAAAUAACUUAGAAAUUUUAAAAACCACCAAAAUGACCCAAAAACACCCAUUGACAUAGGUUGGCACGAAGACAUGGACGAUAGGGGCUUGCCCAUCCUUACCCCGUGCUAACCUUAUGCACAAGCAUGUCGUGCGCCUCAUCUGCAGGGUGCACGUCUAGCAUCUCGCAAGUCCUUUUCUUUACUCUUUCAUAAGUCCUUCUAAGUUUUGUAAUUAUAGAACAAAUAGGGAAAGGAAAGGUCGAUGCAACUCGAAAACAUCAACCUUUCACCACCUUCUUCGACAUUUUACUAAAGACAUUGGAGAAAAUCCAACUAUAAAAUUAAAUGUUGGACUUUUUUCGACGCCAUUUCAUGUACAUGUUGAUGAAAGAUAAUAAUACUUUAUUGUUCUGAAGAAUUUUCCGACAUCGUCAACUCAGACGUCGAAAAAAGGUGAAUAUUUUUACUAUUAUUUGGCCUUUGACGAUAAUGUUAGUAAAUGCAUCAGAAAAAAGCCAAACAUUCAUCGACGUAUGGCACAACGCAUCGGGGAAAGAUAUUAAUAAAAUUUUAAUACAUAACUAUCCCCAAUGUGCUCUGUGGGAGCAUCGACCUUGCCUCUCUAUACCGACGACAAAGACUAGCGCGUCGACUUUGCCUCUCUAUACCAACAUUGUGAAACCAACGUCAAUUUUCCCUUUGUUUGCCGAUGUUCGUGACGACGUCGAAAAACCUCCAUUUUCUUGUAGUGAUAUAUAUAUAUAUAUAUAUAUCACUAAGAAAAUGUAAAAAUGUUGUAUUCUACAAAAGGUAUUUCCUUAACUCACUAAGUCUUUGAUUUAAAUUUGAAGUUUUUCCUCCUCAGGUCAUCAGGCGUAGAAGCCAAGUAAGGAUUGGAUGUCCGGCGUAGAAGCCAAGUAAAGGAGGAAAAGAUGGAUUAUUAUGUAAACUUGUGUAGCGUAGAAGCUGUGACAUGUUCUUUCGUGUUUAAUGAGUCAGUAGGUAAGGACUUCACUCCUUAAUGCCAAGGGUUAUCGAUCAAUUCAAAAGAGGCGUUAAGGACUACACUUAGGUUGAUGAGGCCAAAUUUGACGGUUGGAAGAACUGAGUAGGGCAAAGGAAGCCCUAAAGGUUGUUCCUAAAAUGGUUGUUGGGCAACCAAGAAGAUGGAUGACAACGAUGUCUUUACACCUCUAACUACCCUUGUCAUAAAGAGCAACAUUGGACGGUGGAGUUAGAAAAAUGGAUCAAAACUUAAUUUUAAUUAUAUGGUUCCGCGAGAAAAGGAAUGUAAUUUGUAAACUAUGAGCUCUAUAAAGUAUUAAGUUAAUAAAACAAAAGAGUUAUUUUCUUCCACUGCUUUAUUAUUAUUCAAUCUUAUCACCUAAAGGCUAAAGUUGAUUUUUAUUAUGUAAAAGUGUUAGAAUAUGGAUUAAAGUCUAAAAGUUGUAAACUUUUCAAUGCAAUAAGAAAGUCUAAGUUCGAGGCAAAGGGUUCACGAAGAGACAGGUUAAGUAAGGUGUUUCAUUUACUAGGCAUUAAGCACAUCAUCUUGCAGGGAGAUACACGAUAGGUGACUAGGUGGCACGCCCCCAUCUGGUGGAGUAGCAUUGGGGUGGGGCCUGGCAUUUCUAUAGAUUAUCACAACUUUUUAAUUUGCUAUAAGUUUAUUUUUGUGUAAUUUUAAUUUUUUCUUGAAAUAUAAUGAACCAAUUUCAAUACAUCCUUUGGUUACAUUGAGGUGUAAGAAAGUUAAUUGAGAAACUCUACCAUUCCUUGACAUUUUCUACCACCACUACAAAAUUAGAUGGAAACGGUUAAAAUUGUUUGACCCAAUUGGACAAACAAUUGACCCAACCAUUGAUAUAGCAUCGAAAUUUUGCUAUCUAAUCCCUUUUAAUUUGAGAUCGUUAUAUGAUUUUAUGUUUGUAUUUGGCUAUUUUAUAAAUUUCGAGCAAUUCAAAGGUAAAAUCUGAUGUUCACGUCCUUUUGGAGAUAAAAUGAGUGAAAAAAAGUCAAUAGGCAUCAACCGGGGUGAAGCAUGAAGAAAAGAAGCCAAAUUGGCAUUUACCUUACAACGUUGCGGAACCCUACAACCUUAAUGCAAUUGAUAUUAAUUUGGAUUUUGUCUCAUUCUCAUCGAUUCGACAGAUUAUCAAUUAGUUACUCGUGACAAAUUGAUUGACUUUUCCAAUUGAAUUUGGGUUAGAUGAAGCCAACCCUUGAACCUAGUAAUAAGAAACGCACAUGAAUGAAUGCAUUGUAUACAAAAUUUUCUUUAAUUAACUUAACCUAAACUCUACUUAAUAUUAAAUUUCUUAGGUUUACACAUAUUUUGAAUUCAAAAUAACUGAAAACCACCCCAAUUACCUUAGGUUACGUUGGAAACCAUUUGUUUGAGAAAUUUACGUACUCCCUAUAUAAACGAAUUAUUGAUGGUGUGCAAUUCGGUUAAUUCAUUUGGUCUAGAUUUGGACAAAGAAAUUAAUCCGCUUGAUCAACCCUCCAUCAAAAUGAUAUAUUAAACCUAAAUUUCAGAACCUAUAUAUUCUUAAUUAUUUCUCCAUCCGUGAUUAGAUUUGAGAUCAAAGGUAAUUAAUACCGAUUAUUAUUAUAGAAGCUAAGUUGUGAUGCAAUUUGAUCGAUCUUGUUGAUGAAAGGUCACAACCUACAUUACUUAAUAUUUUAUUUAUUUAUUAUUUAUUAUUAUUAUAAAUAUUAUCUCUCCAUCUUUCUCAACUGAUAAGAUUAAUCAAAAUUAUCAUUAACAUAUAAUCUAAAUUUUAUAACUUUAAAAAUGUACGAAAACUCAUUUUUUAUGUGGGAAAGUAUUAAAUAUUUACCUGCAGUCAACAUCUUAUCAUCUAACAAUAUAUCUAAUUAAAUCCAACCUGUUUUCUCAAAGAGAAAAAAACAAAUUAAGGUUUGGUAGAUGUGUUUUGUUCCCUUUCUUUUUUCUUUAGGUCAAUAUUACGUGGGAAACUAUUAAAUACUAUUCAAUGGUCAAUUAUUAAAUGACUAUUUUAAAAUUUAACAAAACCAAUUAAAUAUUUUCACUGUUAAAUUGAAGGUCUUCUUGCAAAUUUAACAAAAUAAGUUUAAAAAAUUAGACUACUUUUGCAAAACUCAAAAAAAAAAAAAAACAAUUUUAUGGUAUGAAAUGUCAAUAUAUCCAAACAUUUGAUAUAUACACUUGAUACAUUUUUUAAGAGUUUGAGAACCAACUAACUAAAAUAAAUCGAAAAUUUAAGAAUUAAUUGAUUUUUUUCGGUCGCUUCCAUCUCUAAACUUACAUAUACUUUAAUAUUCACCCAUGACCCAUGACAUAUGUGAAACAUAUAUAUUUAUCAUAUUUUAAUAUUUCAAAGCACAUAACAUAUAUAUGUAUAUGUAUAUAUGUUAAAAUAAUAAUUAAAAAAGGAAACCCAUCCAAUAGCUUGUAGUUUGGCCUCACUAUAAGAAGCCAAUGAGAAAGUUGAAGUAUCUCACCAAUCCAAAACUAAAGCCAAGAAGGAUAAUAAGGGUUUUUUCUUAAUUUCUUGGCUCUAAUUUCUUUGACGUAUUUUUCCCUUAUCCUUGUAUACUACUUUCAAUGGCUGAAGAGGCUUCAGACUCCUCUUUCAUUCCCAUAAUUAGGAGAAGCACCUUCCCUCCAGACUUUGUUUUUGGUUCUGCAUCAUCUGCUUAUCAAGUACCAUAAAAACACACUUCCUUCUUUUCACUUUUAUUCUUUGAUUUUCUAAACGUACAAUAAUAUUAACAUAUAACGUAUGUGUAUACAUAUACAUAUAUAUUGUAUUUUAAUAGUACGAAGGUGCUGCUUUUGAGUAUGGGAGAACACCAAGUAUUUGGGAUACAUUUACUCAUCUACACUCUGGUUCUUCAUCUUUCUUCCUCUCCGUCUAUCUCUUUCAAUAUGAAAAAAUAAGAAUAAAUAAAUGAGGAAGUAAGUUAUGUUUGUUUUUGUGGAACUCCAGAUAGGAUUGAUGAUGGCAGUAAUGCAGAUGUAACUGUUGAUCAAUACCAUCGAUACCAGGUUUGUAAGAUUUAUAUUAUAGUUGCAGUACAAAAAAUUAAAAAAUUGGCCGACCACAAUUCUUUUAAUUAUCUUAAUAACUACUUGAUUUAUCCAUUGGAAAUGUGCAUUAAUUAUUGUUGGUGUACAAUACAGGAAGAUGUUGAGAUUAUCAAGAAAAUAGGUUUUGAUGCAUACAGAUUCUCAAUUUCAUGGUCUAGAGUGUUGCCAAGUAAGGAUUUAAGUAUCACUUAACAUAUGUAAAAAAAAGUUACCUUCAGUUUUUGUAUAUUAAUUUAAAAGAAAAAAGAAUUUUGAUUUAUGAAGAAAAUCUUGGCAUCUAACACUUUUUUGAUAGGAAAGAAAGCAUUAAUUAAGGUCAACAUUAGUAUUUUUCUUUAAAAGUAACCCUAAUACCUAAUUGCUGACCACAUUGCCCCUAAUGAUAUAGUAUUUGGAAACCAUUAUUUAAGAUUUGAUAGUUUAGAUUUGACUUUAGAUCAAAAUCUAAAUAAUAAUUUUUUAUACACGUUCAGAUUGAUUGUUUAAAUUUAGGUUGUCAAAUUUCAACGAUUCUUUUAAAGAUUUCUUGGAAAACGAUCGAUACAUGAUCAUUUAAAUUUGGACAGCCAUAUAUAAACAGUUUUUUUUUUAAGAUUCUUUGUUGCACGAUUGUUUAAAUUUGACUGUUUUUUUACACAAUCGUUUAGAUUUAAUAUAGAAUUGUUUAGAUUUGAUCGUUUAAAUUUAGACAAUCAAAUUUAAACGAUUUUUUAAGAUUUUUUGUAUACGAUAGUUUAAAUUAGGCUAUUUUUGUACACGAUCGUUUAAAUUUAUUCAUUUAAAUUUGAAAAGGCAAAUCUAAUCGAUUUUUUAAAAGAUUUUUUUAGGGUAAAUUUGGCUAGGAUAGUUAAGAUUUGGAUAUCGAAUAUGCCAAUGAUUUUUUUCACGAUCUUUUAUAUUUGUCGCACGAUCUAAAUAAAAAAAAAUUAAAAGAUAUUGUAUAUUUGGUACACGAUUUUGAACCAAUUAACGGUUUGAAAGAAAAAUAAAAGAAAAAUUGCAAAAGAAGAGAAAAAGAGAACGAUGAAAAAUAUAUAAAACAUGACAUGAAUAAAUUGGAAAGAAGAAGAUGAAUUUGUUAUAAACCAGUAAGGAAAAAUAUGAAAUUCUAAAAAAAUAAUCAACCUUAAUGAAUUUUCUUAAAUUGUUCUAUAGACCGUAAACACAUUAUUGUCGUUCUGUUAUAUUUAUGAAAAUUAUCUAUUAAACUAAUCAUUACAAUAAAAUUUAAUAAAGUUGUAUUUGCUUUUUUUUUUGUACUUUGACAAAUAGACAUUUAUGUUUUUUAUGUCAAAUUUAUACAUAUAUCUUAAAAUAUAAUAAAUAAAUAACGUAUCUUCAACCCAUUCAUAUCUUAGUUUCUUAAUAAUGACAUAUUGCGAAAUCUGGUCGUAUUAAUAUUGUAUAUCAGUAUUAAUGUUUGUGUUUUUCAUAAACAAAAACAAAUUCUUUUAAAGUUAUUUUUUAAGAUUUUAAGCCAAUAUUAUAUAAUCAAUAACAAACGAGGAAAAUUGGAGGUGAAAAUAAUAACUAUAGACUUUAUUAUAUUAUUAUAAAACUAAACUUUUUAAAUCUCACUUAUAUAAGUGUUAGUUAACUUUUCAAUACAUUUAGAUAAUUUUAAUCGUAGUACAUUCCAUUUUACGUGCAUACAUAUAUAUAUAUAUAAUUUAAUUGAGAAUGAUUUAUGUAUUAAUUUAUGUUUUGUCAACGUUUUGAAAAUACAUAGCGGGAAAGCUUUCUGGUGGUGUAAAUCAAGAGGGAAUUGACUAUUACAAUAGACUAAUCAAUGAUCUCGUUUCAAAAGGUUGGUGUAUUAUUAUAUAUCUUAAAUACUUCAUUGUUUCGUUCAAACGCGCUUUGGUCUAAUUAAUUAUUCUAAUCAAAUGAUUUGGGUUAAUUGACUUCAUAAUUUUAAUCCAUAUUUGGAAUUGUAAUUAAUUUGUAGGCAUCCAACCAUUCGUAACAAUAUUCCAUUGGGAUGUUCCUCAAGCUUUAGAAGAUGAAUAUUUAGGCUUCUUGUCCGAACAAAUAAUGUGAGUAUACCCUUUCUUUUUUCUUUUCUAAAUCAAUGAUAAUGGACAUAUAUUAUAGUAUUAAUAUUACUGUUUUUAUAUAUAUAACAAAAUACUUCCCCUACUAUUAUUAAAAACAAAAUUCAUUCAUCUUCUUUCUUUGUUUCUCUCUCCUCUUAAUUAAGUUAAUAAUAUGUAAAAUGAGAUGGUUGACUUUUAAACAUGUUUGAUGAUAAGUCCUUAGUUGAUAUACAUAUUCAUAUUGGCAUAUAAUAAUAAUCAUAAUAAUUAAUUAUUGAAUAAUAUUAUAUUGAGAUAUAAACUCUUUUAGUUGUUAAAUUGAAGAUUCAUGUAUAAAUUAAGCUUAAAUAGCUUUAUAUUUGUAUCAUAAUUAACCAUUACUAUAUUUAAAUAGAAGUUUAAUUUAAUAAGGGUGCUCAAUAUAUAAUAAAGUUCUUAGUUUGAUUUAACCUAAUAAUAAUAUCAGAUUUGUUUCCAAACCAUUUUUGUUCGAACCCAACUUUCUCCUCUGUCAAAUAUGUUCAAAGUAAAUAUAUCCCAAAGCUUUGCUUUCUUCUUUUUCUGUUUUAAAAGUUUUGGCUAAAUCAUUAGACGAGAGUCUAUCAAAAAGUUACUAAAAUAGAACAAAGAAAUUGUAAAAACACAUAUUAGAGAUCCUGAAAUAGAAAUAGAAACAUGUGGUUCAAGGAAAGGAAAUAACAUGAAUAUUAUUGUUGAUUUCAGAGAUGAUUAUCGAGACUUUGCUGAGCUUUGCUUCAAAGAGUUUGGAGAUAGAGUGAAACAUUGGAUCACUUUUAACGAGCAAUAUAUCUUUAUCUUAUAUGGUUAUGCAAUCGGGCUAUUUGCACCUAGUCGAGGCUCUUCUUCCAAACAAUAUGAUUAUCUUUGUGAAGAUUCUGAGCAUAAACAUGUUGGUCUUGUAUCACGGAGAGACUUUUUCUGGAAACUAUUAGAUUGUGAACUCGAGGGAAAUCCUGGAACUGAACCAUAUAUUGUUGGUCACAAUCAAAUUCUCGCACAUGCUGCUGCGGUUAAACUUUACAAGUCUAAAUAUGUAAUAUUUUUCCCAUAUUACCUAAAAAUUUUAUUUUGAUUAAUUUCAUUGGUUAAAAAGCUCAAAAUUUUAUAAUUUAUUGACGUUGAAGUAAGUUAAAAUUUUCACAUAUUUUUCGACCAUUUUCUCGUAUGGUUUUUGUAGGAGUAUCAAAAUGGUCAAAUUGGGGUGACAUUGAAUACGGAUUGGUAUGUCCCAAAUUCAAAUCAUGAGGAUGACAAAAAAGCUGCAUCUCGAGCGCUUGAUUUUUCUCUUGGUUGGUAAGUCAAAUAAUUAAUAUAUAAAGAGACUGAUCGCAUAGUUUAUCAAGUUUCCCAAGCCUUGAAUUUUUUUUGAAUUAACUUAUUAUGUUGAAACAAUUUAAACGUUAUUAUUUGUAGGUUUUUGCAUCCAUUGGUGUAUGGAGACUAUCCAGACAGCAUGAGAGAACUUGUGAAGGAGAGAUUGCCAAAGUUCACAGAUGAUGAAGUUAGUUUGGUGAAAGGGUCUUAUGAUUUUCUUGGAAUCAAUUACUACACAUCUAAUUAUGCAAAAAAUAAUCCCAAUGUUGAUCCUAACAAACCAAGCCAAGUCACUGAUGCACAUGUCGAUGUUUCAAGUAAUGCACGGUUAAUUAUAUCUUAAUACUACAUCAAAAUGAUCUUAUAAUUUUAUAUAUCUUUUAUUUUUACUUUUAUUAUUAAUUUUCUUACACACGAGCACUUCUUAAAAAUAGCAAAAUAAAUUAAAAUAUUUACAAACUAUAGCAAAAUGUUGGAUUCUAUCCGUAAUAAAAUUUGCUAUAAGUUGUAAAUAAUUUUGUAAAAUUUGUUAUUUUUUAAAAAUCGUCCUUUAAAUUUUUCUAUAUUUUGACUUUGUCCAUUUGUGUGUUUCUUAAUUGUAGCUGAUCGAGAUGGAGUUUCAAUUGGUCCAAAGGUAAUCCAAUGUUUGAAUUACAUUACUUUGUUUAAAUAUUUAAUUUUAUGCAGUUUUCCUCUUUUUAAUCAAAUGAUUUGUUUAUUUUUUAGGCCGGUAAAGAUUCUUGGCUUGCAGUUUAUCCAGAAGGGCUGAAAGAUCUUAUGAUACAUAUGAAGCAUCAUUAUGAAGAUCCAAUCAUCUACAUCACAGAAAACGGUAUUACAAUUAAUUUUACUAUACACAUAUAUAGAUACCACGUGCUUGAUGUUUAUAAUAAUCUUAUUGAUUAAUAUAUUUUCUAAAUACAGGAUAUCUUGAUUAUGAUAGUCCCGAUGUUGAGAAAUUACUCAUGGAUGAGGGUAGAGUUAAAUACUACCAACAACAUCUCAUUAAACUUCAUGAGUCAAUGAAGUGAGUAACUAAAUAAAUUAUCACAAUUUCUUUUGCUAAAGACCGUAAUAGACUAUUAUAUGUGUCUAUCUGUGUCAAGAUAGGCAGAUAGACACAAACCAUAAUUGUGAUAAACUACGAUACUUUACUAUAUUUGUUGAUAUUUUAGUUCAUUCUGUUAUAUUUGGAAAUGAUACAAAUUAUAUUUUCUAUAUUGUUGACUGAUAGUAUAAUUUGGAAUAUGUAUAUUGCAGGGCUGGAGUAAAGGUAAAAGGAUAUUUUGCAUGGACAUUGUUGGAUGAUUUUGAAUGGGCGAGAGGAUAUACUAUGCGGUUUGGAAUAACUUACAUUGAUUUCAAAAACAAAACUUUGGAACGAAUCCCAAAACUCUCAUCAAAGUGGUUCACUCAUUUCUUAAACACUUGAAGAUGGAUGAUUCACAAUCCCAUCAAAACCUAUUUGCCAAGCCAUUAUAAUAAGGCUCCUUAAAGUUAUUUCCUAAGGCAUUAUGACAAAGCCUCUUAAAGCUAUUUCCUAAGGCAUUAUAUUUUUGUGUUGUUUUUGUUUUUGUUUUUGAUAUUGCAAUUUUGUUAUUUGAAU
This 11041-nucleotide long non-coding RNA is filed under the name Cucumis sativus (cucumber). RNAcentral's name for it is "long non-coding RNA (CSAT_LNC000417)". Lineage: Eukaryota; Viridiplantae; Streptophyta; Magnoliopsida; Cucurbitales; Cucurbitaceae. The record is from RNAcentral.